GAUGAAGAACGCAGCAAAAUGCGAUAAGUAAUGUGAAUUGCAGAAUUCAGUGAAUCAUCGAAUCUUUGAACGCACAUUGCGCCCCUUGGUAUUCCAUGGGGCAUGCCUGUUCGAGCGUCAUUUGUACCUUCAAGCUUUGCUUGGUGUUGGGUGUUUGUCCCGAGGGACUCGCCUUAAAGUAAUUGGCAGCCAGUGUUUGGUUUUGAAGCGCAGCACAAGUCGCGAUUCAAGGCUACACGCCCGCUUCCACAAGCCUUUUUUCACUUUUGACCUCGGAUCAGGUAGGGAUACCCGCUGAACUUAAGCAUAUCAAUAAGCGGAGGA
Molecule: unclassified non-coding RNA, 324 nt
Filed under: soil metagenome
Description: partial contains 5.8S ribosomal RNA, internal transcribed spacer 2, and large subunit ribosomal RNA
Rfam family: 5.8S ribosomal RNA (bases 1-120)
Source: RNAcentral